Molecule: ribosomal RNA, 482 nt
Filed under: uncultured bacterium
Lineage: Bacteria
Description: partial 16S ribosomal RNA
Rfam family: Bacterial small subunit ribosomal RNA
Source: RNAcentral
GACGAACGCCGGAGGCGUGCUUAACACAUGCAAGUCGAACGAUGAAAUGGAGCUUGCUCCAUGGAUUAGUGGCGAACGGAUGAGUAACACGUGAAUAACCUGCCCUUAAUUUUGGAAUAACCCAGGGAAACCUGGGCUAAUACCGGAUAAGUAAACCUGUGGCAUCACAUGGUUUUGGAAAGUUUUUCGAUUAAGGAUGGAUUCGCGGCCUAUCAGCUUGUUGGUGAGGUAAUGGCUCACCAAGGCGACGACGGGUAGCCGGCCUGAGAGGGUGAACGGCCACACUGGGACUGAGCCACGGCCCAGACUCCUACGGGAGGCAGCAGUGGGGAAUAUUGCGCAAUGGACGAAAGUCUGACGCAGCGACGCCUCGUGAGGGACGAAGGUCUUCGGAUUGUAAACCUCUUUCAGCAGGGACGAAGCGAAAGUGACGGUACCUGCAGAAGAAGCACCGGCUAACUAUGUGCCAGCAGCCGCAGUAA